Molecule: microRNA precursor, 100 nt
Filed under: Podarcis lilfordi (Lilford's wall lizard)
Lineage: Eukaryota; Metazoa; Chordata; Lepidosauria; Squamata; Lacertidae
Source: RNAcentral
GAAGAUUAAAUGGCGGAGAAAGAGAAGUAUGUAUGCCAACCUCUCGUCCAAGAUGUGAGGUGGCAUACAUACUUCUCUUUCUCCGCCAUUUUAUCCUCAC